RNAcentral lists this small nuclear RNA (108 nucleotides) under Cervus elaphus hippelaphus. Lineage: Eukaryota; Metazoa; Chordata; Mammalia; Artiodactyla; Cervidae. RNAcentral also lists the same sequence under 1 other name. The record is from RNAcentral.
GUGCUCGCUUCGGCAGCACAUAUACUAAAAUUGGAACGAUACAGAGAAGAUUAGCAUGGCCCCUGCGCAAUGAUGACAAAGAAAAAAAAAAAGAAAAAAAAAGACUGU